This 253-nucleotide ribosomal RNA is filed under the name uncultured bacterium. RNAcentral describes it as "partial 16S ribosomal RNA". It matches the Rfam family "Bacterial small subunit ribosomal RNA", at positions 524 to 776 of the family's 1533-position model. The record is from RNAcentral.
UACGUAGGGUGCGAGCGUUGUCCGGAAUUAUUGGGCGUAAAGAGCUUGUAGGUGGUUUGUCGCGUCUGCUGUGAAAAUCCGAGGCUCAACCCCGGACUUGCAGUGGGUACGGGCAGACUAGAGUGUGGUAGGGGAGACUGGAAUUCCUGGUGUAGCGGUGAAAUGCGCAGAUAUCAGGAGGAACACCGAUGGCGAAGGCAGGUCUCUGGGCCACUACUGACGCUGAGAAGCGAAAGCAUGGGGAGCGAACAGG